Molecule: ribosomal RNA, 506 nt
Filed under: uncultured bacterium
Lineage: Bacteria
Description: partial 16S ribosomal RNA
Rfam family: Bacterial small subunit ribosomal RNA
Source: RNAcentral
GGUGAACGCUAGCUACAGGCUUAACACAUGCAAGUCGAGGGGUAACGAGAGGAAAGCUUGCUUUCCUUGUCGACGACCGGCGCACGGGUGAGUAACGCGUAUCCAACCUGCCCCCAACUAGGGAAUAACCUUGCGAAAGUAAGACUAAUACCCUAUAAUUUCCUCAGAUGACAUCGGACGAGGAAUAAAGAUUUAUCGGUUGUGGAUGGGGAUGCGUAUGAUUAGCGUGGUGGCGGGGUAACGGCCCACAAAGGCAACGAUCAGUAGGGGUUCAGCGACGAAGGUCCCCCACAUUGGGAACAAGACACGGGCCAAACUCCUACGGGAGGCAGCAGAGAGGAAUAUUGUUCAAUGAGCGGAAGCCUGAACCAGCCAAGUAGCGUGCAGGAUGACGGCCAUAUGGGUUGUAAACUGCUUUUAUACAGGAAUAAAGUUAGCCACGUGUGGUUAUUUGUAGGUACUGUAUGAAUAAGGACCGGCUAAUUCCGUGCCAGCCGCCGCAGUAA